GGAAUCUUCCACAAUGGACGAAAGUCUGAUGGAGCAACGCCGCGUGAGUGAAGAAGGUUUUCGGAUCGCAAAGCUCUGUUGUUGGUGAAGAAGGAUAGAGGCAGUAACUGGUCUUUAUUUGACGGUAAUCAACCAGAAAGUCACGGCUAACUACGUGCCAG
Molecule: ribosomal RNA, 161 nt
Filed under: uncultured bacterium
Lineage: Bacteria
Description: partial 16S rRNA
Rfam family: Bacterial small subunit ribosomal RNA
Source: RNAcentral